GGUCGGGUCCCAUGCAGUGGGCCCGCCGGACACCGGGUCAGGCUGGAAACAGAGCAGCCCAUUCGGCGUGUUCAGGUGCCGUGGUUUCACCUGACCGUC
RNAcentral lists this signal recognition particle RNA (99 nucleotides) under Phycisphaerales bacterium. RNAcentral describes it as "signal recognition particle sRNA small type". It matches the Rfam family "Bacterial small signal recognition particle RNA". Rfam says of the family: The signal recognition particle (SRP) is a universally conserved ribonucleoprotein involved in the co-translational targeting of proteins to membranes. Archaeal SRP consists of a 7S RNA and homologues of the eukaryotic SRP19 and SRP54 proteins. The record is from RNAcentral. Lineage: Bacteria; Pseudomonadati; Planctomycetota; Phycisphaerae; Phycisphaerales.